CCAAUAGCGUAUAUUAAAGUUGUUGCAGUUAAAAAGCUCGUAGUUGAAUUUCGGGAUCAGUACGCUGGUCGUGCCUUCGGUAUGUACUGGUGUUACUGGUUCCUACCUUCUGACGAACCGUCAUGUCAUUAAUUUGGUGUGGCGGGGAAUCAGGACUGUUACUUUGAAAAAAUUAGAGUGUUUAAAGCAGGCUCGCGCUUGAAUACAUUAGCAUGGAAUAAUGAAAUAGGACGUUCGAUCCUAUUUUGUUGGUUUCUAGGAUUGACGUAAUGAUUAAUAGGGAUAGUUGGGGUCAUUAGUAUUCAAUUGUCAGAGGUGAAAUUCUUGGAUUUAUUGAAGACUAACUACUGCGAAAGCAUUUGCCAAGGAUGUUUUCAUUAAUCAAGAACGAAAGUUAGGGGAUCGAAGACGAUCAGAUACCGUCGUAGUCUUAACCAUAAACUAUGCCGACUAGGGAUCGGAUGAUGUUAAUUUUUUAAUGACUCAUUCGGCGCCUUACG
RNAcentral lists this ribosomal RNA (500 nucleotides) under uncultured Glomeromycotina. RNAcentral describes it as "partial small subunit ribosomal RNA". It matches the Rfam family "Eukaryotic small subunit ribosomal RNA", at positions 591 to 1092 of the family's 1831-position model. The record is from RNAcentral. Lineage: Eukaryota; Fungi; Glomeromycota.